GAUGAAGAACGUAGCGAAAUGCGAUAAGUAAUGUGAAUUGCAGAAUUCAGUGAAUCAUCGAAUCUUUGAACGCACCUUGCACCCUUUGGCAUUCCGAAGGGUAUGCUCGUUUGAGUGUCAUUGUACUCUCACACUUCCAAUUCUUUGGAUUGGGAGCGGUGGACUUGGGCGCUGCUGCUUUACUGUGGCUCACCUCAAAUGCAUUAGUGCAACCCUUGGUUAGACAUAGUACGGCGUGAUAAGUGUCUUCGCUGGUGCCUCACAUUUAGAGGGUGGCUGAUCAGGGGCUCUGUGCUUCAAACCGUCUUUGGACAAUGGCUGACAACUUGACCUCAAAUCGAGUAGGACUACCCGCUGAACUUAAGCAUAUCAAUAAGCGGAGGA
Molecule: unclassified non-coding RNA, 384 nt
Filed under: soil metagenome
Description: partial contains 5.8S ribosomal RNA, internal transcribed spacer 2, and large subunit ribosomal RNA
Rfam family: 5.8S ribosomal RNA (bases 1-120)
Source: RNAcentral